UGUCCGGAAUUAUUGGGCGUAAAGAGCUCGUAGGCGGUUUGUCGCGUCUGCUGUGAAAACUGGAGGCUCAACCUCCAGCCUGCAGUGGGUACGGGCAGACUAGAGUGCGGUAGGGGAGAUUGGAAUUCCUGGUGUAGCGGUGGAAUGCGCAGAUAUCAGGAGGAACACCGAUGGCGAAGGCAGAUCUCUGGGCCGUAACUGACGCUGAGGAGCGAAAGCAUGGGGAGCGAACAGGAUUAGAUACCCUGGUAGUCCAUGCCGUAAACGUUGGGAACUAGAUGUGGGGGCCAUUCCACGGUCUCCGUGUCGCAGCUAACGCAUUAAGUUCCCCGCCUGGGGAGUACGGCCGCAAGGCUAAAACUCAAAGGAAUUGACGGGGGCCCGCACAAGCGGCGGAGCAUGCGGAUUAAUUCGAUGCAACGCGAAGAACCUUACCAAGGCUUGACAUAUACGAGAACGGGCCAGAAAUGGUCAACUCUUUGGACACUCGUAAACAGGUGGUGCAUGGUUGUCGUCAGCUCGUGUCGUGAGAUGUUGGGUUAAGUCCCGCAACGAGCGCAACCCUCGUUCUAUGUUGCCAGCACGUUAUGGUGGGAACUCAUAGGAGACUGCCGGGGUCAACUCGGAGGAAGGUGGGGAUGACGUCAAAUCAUCAUGCCCCUUAUGUCUUGGGCUUCACGCAUGCUACAAUGGCCGGUACAAAGGGCUGCAAUACCGUAAGGUGGAGCGAAUCCCAAAAAGCCGGUCUCAGUUCGGAUUGAGGUCUGCAACUCGACCUCAUGAAGUCGGAGUCGCUAGUAAUCGCAGAUCAGCAACGCUGCGGUGAAUACGUUCCCGGGCCUUGUACACACCGCCCGUCAAGUCAUGAAAGUCGGUAACACCCAACGCCAGUGG
Molecule: ribosomal RNA, 894 nt
Filed under: Agreia pratensis
Lineage: Bacteria; Bacillati; Actinomycetota; Actinomycetes; Micrococcales; Microbacteriaceae
Description: bacterial SSU rRNA
Rfam family: Bacterial small subunit ribosomal RNA
Source: RNAcentral